Molecule: non-coding RNA, 73 nt
Organism: Empidonax traillii (willow flycatcher)
Lineage: Eukaryota; Metazoa; Chordata; Aves; Passeriformes; Tyrannidae
Source: the annotation of a RefSeq genome assembly
GCCUGGCUAGCUCAGUCAGUAGAGCAUGAGACUCUUAAUCUCAGGGUUGUGGGUUCGAGUCCCACGUUGGGCA